This 465-nucleotide ribosomal RNA is filed under the name Clostridioides difficile. RNAcentral describes it as "bacterial SSU rRNA". It matches the Rfam family "Bacterial small subunit ribosomal RNA", at positions 338 to 795 of the family's 1533-position model. Lineage: Bacteria; Bacillati; Bacillota; Clostridia; Peptostreptococcales; Peptostreptococcaceae. The record is from RNAcentral.
CCUACGGGGGGCUGCAGUAGGGAAUCUUCGGCAAUGGGCGAAAGCCUGACCGAGCAACGCCGCGUGAAUGAUGAAGGCCUUCGGGUUGUAAAAUUCUGUUAUAAGGGAAGAACGACUUUAGUAGGAAAUGGCUAGAGUGUGACGGUACCUUAUGAGAAAGCCACGGCUAACUACGUGCCAGCAGCCGCGGUAAUACGUAGGUGGCAAGCGUUAUCCGGAAUUAUUGGGCGUAAAGAGCGCGCAGGUGGUUGAUUAAGUCUGAUGUGAAAGCCCACGGCUUAACCGUGGAGGGUCAUUGGAAACUGGUCGACUUGAGUGCAGAAGAGGGAAGUGGAAUUCCAUGUGUAGCGGUGAAAUGCGUAGAGAUAUGGAGGAACACCAGUGGCGAAGGCGGCUUCCUGGUCUGUAACUGACACUGAGGCGCGAAAGCGUGGGGAGCAAACAGGAUUAGAUACCCGUGUAGUC